RNAcentral lists this long non-coding RNA (394 nucleotides) under Homo sapiens (human). Its description in RNAcentral is "non-protein coding lnc-KCNS2-4:1". Lineage: Eukaryota; Metazoa; Chordata; Mammalia; Primates; Hominidae. The record is from RNAcentral.
GAGUUAGAUAUUGUCUCCUCUGACCUGAAAGCCACCUGGGCAGCAUUAUGACUUCUGACCUCCUCUUUUGGAGUAAAGAGAUCAUGGAAGUUCUCUACACUCUCCAGGGACUAGUGGGACCCAAGGAAGGCACCACCAUUCUCUGUGAAUGGAUCUCUGGAAGGCUCCUUAUUUGACUUUAGGAAAUGAAAUUCCCGUGUGAAAGACAGCCUCCCUCUACCAGAAGGAAAGCAUCAUUCUUAUCAUCAAGGACGGGAAGCUGAGACCGAGGAAAAUCUGUACAAACAAACCUUGUUAAGCUAACCCUUAUCUUCCUCGUUACUUCUCUGCCCAAUUACCUACUCUGCCCAAGCUCCUCUGCCUUGUCACAGUUUCACAAUUUACUACUCUUUCG